Molecule: ribosomal RNA, 301 nt
Filed under: Listeria monocytogenes
Lineage: Bacteria; Bacillati; Bacillota; Bacilli; Caryophanales; Listeriaceae
Description: partial 23S ribosomal RNA
Rfam family: Bacterial large subunit ribosomal RNA
Source: RNAcentral
CAGUUCGGUCCCUAUCCGUCGCGGGCGCAGGAAAUUUGAGAGGAGCUGUCCUUAGUACGAGAGGACCGGGAUGGACACACCGCUGGUGUACCAGUUGUUCCGCCAGGAGCAUCGCUGGGUAGCUAUGUGUGGCAGGGAUAAACGCUGAAAGCAUCUAAGCGUGAAGCCCCCCUCAAGAUGAGAUUUCCCAUUUCUUCGGAAAGUAAGAUCCCUGAAAGAUGAUCAGGUAGAUAGGUUUGGAGUGGAAGUGUAGCGAUACAUGGAGCGGACAAAUACUAAUCGAUCGAGGACUUAACCAAAA